This 46-nucleotide non-coding RNA is filed under the name Schistosoma margrebowiei. Lineage: Eukaryota; Metazoa; Platyhelminthes; Trematoda; Strigeidida; Schistosomatidae. The record is from RNAcentral.
GCAUUGCUGAAGAGUCCCAAAUUAGGACGAAACAACUGUCUAGUGU